Molecule: long non-coding RNA, 1213 nt
Filed under: Heterocephalus glaber (naked mole-rat)
Lineage: Eukaryota; Metazoa; Chordata; Mammalia; Rodentia; Bathyergidae
Description: lncRNA (ENSHGLG00000036966.1)
Source: RNAcentral
AGGUUUCAAACCUGUUACUAGUUUGUAUCAUGAGGUAUGAUUUAGAGAGAAAAAAAUGUAUUUCCCUAUAUACAACAAUUACCAGGCUACACUUUAAUGAAUAUGUAAUUCCAUUUUGACCAAAAAAUAAGGUUUGGUUGAUGAACUAAAAUUGAUGAGAAAUUUAAAAAGAAGUAACAUGCUAUUUUAGAGCUGCCUAUGUUCACAGAAAAAUAAUUCUGAACAUAGGCAUUUAUCCUAGAAUUUAGGAAAGCAGGCAUCAAAAUAGAAAAUUGUAGAGAUAAUCCCAUGACUAAAUUGUUUUAAAGUAAAAAUAAGCUUACUUUUACAAUUCUGACAAAAUAAUCACAGAUUUUUCAGAGUUAUAUAUAAAAAAAUAUAUAGCAUAAAAAGAACAUUCUUUUUCCCUUUUUAAAGCUAUUGAAUGUGGAAUAUUAAGGAGUAUAUACCCAAAGUGGAAGUAUGAAAACGUGGUGAUGAGCCAACAUAAAAAAGUGCUGUAAGAAUAUUGUUAGCAGGGUUAAAGCUUGAGUAUGGGCUGAAAAACUGCCAAGGACAACAGAAUGCUAUUUUAAGCUUUGUUUAUAAAGAAGAACAAAGGGAUAGGUACAUUGAUUGGGGCACACAGCGAAAUGUUAACAUAUGUCACAGAAAAAAACAGAACAAUUCAACUCCUAUUUUUAUUCUAUGGUCUCUAUCAAGAAGAAUGAUCUUCUAAGGACCCGAGUUUGAUCUCCGGACCAAAAAAAAAAAAAAAGAAGAAUGAUCUUCAAACCGGAGAGGGCAGAGCAAACAAAGUUAAGAGGGAACUGAAGCCCAAGAUAAGUCAAGACAGACUAAGACUUCACAAAUGAACUUGUGCCCACUCUGUAUGAGUCAGAUGGUCCCUGGAAAUAUGAGCUGGGUCAAAUCUAAAACUUCCCUUUCGAUGGCUCAUAGUUUAACAGGGGAAACAGACCUCCAGAAGGUGAGCAGUCUUCUCCAUCACCCAUUUCUGCCAUGAUGCACCAUGCUGCCACAGGCCCAAAGUGGCAAUGAGGCCAAGUGAAUAUGGACUGAAACUUCUGAAACCAUGAAGCAAAAUAAGCCUUUUCUCUUAUAAAUUGAUUACCUUGGGUAUUUUGUCACAGUAAUGGAAAUCUGAUUAAAACAACUAGUUUCUAAAGUUGCCAGGAUGUUAAAGAAGAAAUUUUAUUUAGAGAGAAUGACGUGC